This 2490-nucleotide long non-coding RNA is filed under the name Sus scrofa (pig). RNAcentral describes it as "lncRNA (ENSSSCG00045016862.1)". The record is from RNAcentral. Lineage: Eukaryota; Metazoa; Chordata; Mammalia; Artiodactyla; Suidae.
CUUCCAUGGGGCAGAAAAACGCGCUUCUGAGAAACGGAGCAUCCGGAUUCAGAGAAUUGUCUCUGCGCCCUCCUUGGGUUGCGGCCCCUAGAGGUGUGUUGAAAUAGGCGCUGCGCACCCGAGCACUUUGCUCCCAGUCGCUGCUGUGCUGUUUUCUAGAGGUUGGCAGAAGGCCAGAGAAGCCUUCAUUUGGAAGUUUUAGCUUCUGUCCUUCUACCUUUUUUCUCUGCCUCUUCCCUGUCCACUUAGCUCAUAAACUUGAGGCUGCGGUGACUCCCUCCCAGGUGCGUGCCAUGUGCUGUGUGAGGACACCCCCCACCUGAUCCAGCAGAUAACAGUGUGAAGGGUGUUACCCUUGUUUUCUAGAUGCGGAGACAAGCCUCGAAAGAGCUGAGUGGCUUGUCCAGGGUCACGCAGCUGGGACCUGGUGGAGUCAGCACUUGAAUGCAGACCACCUCUCUUGAACCCGUGCCGUGAGCCUCCCAGCCCUGCUCAGCUGGGCAGGAGCGUUAAGUUCCACUUCUCUUGGAGCCUUGAAGGCAAGAAGGUGGCUGCUGUGGUCCUUAGGACAAGAAGGGACCCUGGUAGCAGCAGAUGGCCUGGCUGCUGGACAGUAUAGAGAGACCUGCCUUUGAGUCCCAGCCCCGCGGCCAUCGCCUGGAACCUCACAGUGUCACAGUGUUUCCUGUGAGAAUAGCAGUUACCUCCCGGUACUGUUCAUAAGAUUGGAGGAAGCAGUGGCACGUAGAGACUUAGAGCAAUGUUGUGAUAAGUGUGAGCUAUUGUUUUUAUUAACCCAUUUUAAGCCCUUAAGUCUGAGGCUACUGUGGAAUAGCCACCCGGUGAAAGGCUUGUUAGCACUCGUGAAAGGCAUAUGAGCAGUCACUGCAGUGUUGCCAGCAGAGCCCGCCCUGGACGGUUGGGGACCAGGUGGUCCUGCUCCUGCUAUGCAGGGCUUGAGCUUAGUCUCUGGUUUUCAGAAAGGUAUCUUGGGACCAGAACUUGUUGCUUCUCUUUAAUUAUUUUGCUCAUUGAACAAUCUUGGCUCCCUCCUUAUCUACCAACUUUCUUGAGACGUAGGAGUCAUCAUUCAGAGGAGGAUGGAAGGAAGGUUUUGAGCUUGUGAAAGUGUCUUGUUGGCAAGAUGUUCUUCAGCUCUGAGGAAACUUGUCUGUGGAUAGAGGAGAGGUGUUUUCACUCGUAAAGACACGUGUCAUCUGGCCCAGAGGAGGUCUGGUGCCCUCUGAAACUAAACUCUGUGGAGGAGGAUGGUGACAGGACUUGUUUUUUAGUUGAACAUUUAAUAUGUUUUAGAAACUGUCCUAGUGCAGUUCCCUGGUGGCUCAGCAAAUUAGGGAUCCAGCAUUGUCACUGCUGUGGCUCAGGUUGCUGCUGUGGCAUGGGUUCCAUCACUGACCUGGGAACUUAUGCAUGCCUUGGGGAUGGCCAAAAAAGAGAAAAACAAAAACACCGCAUGUGGCAGGACCCGCAUGUUCUGUGCUGCGCUGUGCCUGUGGUUGAUAGUGUGGAGUAGCUGUAGGAAGGAGCUGCCCCUGAGUUGGAUAGGGCAGGUGGAGAUGGGGGCGGGCAUUGCAUGUUGACUCCCGCUGGCAUUGGACAUAGGAGCUCAGGAACCCAGGAGAGAAACUGCUUUGGUCCAUGUGUGAGCACUAUUUUUCUCUUCUUCAAACCUCCCUUCGGACAUAAGUCAAAAGGCAGCACAGCCCUCUGCUAGAUGAAAUGCUUAGAUUGAUGAAGGCUUUAUCUCCCCCCCCAAUCCUUUAAAUCUUGCUUCUUUCCCGUCAUGACGGGUCCAUUGUGCUGUUUGCAUUUGGGGCCCAGGGCCUCCCCCACACCUUUGGAAGCCAUGUCCAGUGUGUUACUGGCGGAAACCCAUGGCCAAGUGUUAGAGAUUUCAUCCAGGCCAUCUUAUAAAUCAGUUCGGGGGAAGGUUUAUGUGAAUUGGCUGCUUCUGCUAUGAAAAGGGGAGUAUGCUAUUCUCAGCCUUCGUCAAUGAACAUGUGGAUGUUUUUUCCCAAAAUAUUUUUAUCUCUUCUUUGCAAUACAGGGACAUUCUGCUUUAAUUAUCUUUGACUUUGGUGAAAGGCUUCUUGAGUUUCUUAUGCCAUCGAGGUAGAAAAGGACAGCAUGUAUGACAUCCAUUGAAGACGUUUCAGAAUCGCCGCUACUUAAGUGUCAGAAUACCAGUUGACAAAGUGGAGGGAUUAGUCGCUUGUUACAUGAAACCAGCCAGGAUCCUGCAGAGGCAGCAGCUGUGGACAUCUGUGAAACAUUAAUGAUUAGACAACAGGUAACGGAGCCUUGCAGAUCAUCUGGAGGGGUCCAGGAAGCCAUCAAGCAGGGAAACUGUCUGAAAAGGCUUUAGCGUAUUUUGAGAAGUCCUCCGGUCAGUGAGAGUGUUGGGGAGAAUGGAGUCUGUAAUGCAGAGUGGCAGGAGAUUUCAGAAUUUCUUAGAUGAUAGAACUGUCC